GGGCUAGCACCAUGAUGGGGCCUACCCUACAAAUGGAAAGGGUGAGAUGGAAAUAGAAAGUCAGGGGCAGAGAAGCAAGGGGAAGGGAGCAGACGAUAUCCGGGUCUGGUUCUCUUGGUCAAAUUCCAGAAUGGGCCAGUCCAUUUUCGCUCGGACCUUGGCUUUUCAGUGGGGUUGAGGAAGGUGCUGAUGGAGAGUCAGGGUCUUUGUUGGCACAGGCUAUGGCACACCAUGGAAUUCCCGGACUGUCAGGGAUGGAAGGAGGCUAAUCCCUGCUCCCUCCACCCUUCCAAACACACACUAUUGCUGGGAGCCACUGUUUAUGGGGGCUGAAGCGAUGGUGUGGAGCAUUCCGGCUCUGCUACUGCUGCUAAUCAAGAAGACAAGAGCCAAAGCCCACAGACACCCAACUGUGCAUCCAGUUAGACUUGCCUCUGUAAGAGGAUGGGAGUGAAUGCACACAAAGGUGUGGGUACACAUUGGCCAUCGCUGCAAGAGCUGGGUCUGAAGCAGAACUCAAAACUAUAGGGUGCCCUGUAGGCUAUCCACCGACUACUCUACAGCUCGUUCUGCCCUUGAGAAGCCAGGCAAAUGAGGCCUCUGUUCCCCCAUCGGGGUCUCUGGUGAUUUCUAUUAUCCCCUUCACUCUCUAUGAUGACUGAUCUCCUCUUGUGGCAACCCCAUGGCAAUAACUGCUAGCAGAGAUGGUUAAGGUAAAACAGACUGCAGGAUAAUGUUGCCUUUUUUCACGCCCAUAGUUUUCCUUAUCAUAUCCUGGAGGAGUCAUAGGAGAUAAUGGUAUGGUUAGAAAAAGUCAUAAACAAUGUGGUAAUGGGCAUAUGGGCUGAUGAUUCAUAAGGAAGGGGGAGAACGCCAUGAAUCCUUAUAUGUUUCACAGGGACUGGGACCAAGAGCUUCCAGAGACAGAGGGAAACUCAAUUAAAUUGACACUGGAAGGAAAAGGCAAUAGGGUUGAUGUUGUCUCUCCUCCCACUAUUUCCAAACAAACAUUGGCUGGGGUGGAUGCUUUCCCCCAGCUGGGAAGCUAAAAAACAAAGGUUCCUGCUUUCUCACUUAGAAAUUCCAGAGGGCUGCUGGUCCUUUUCUCCCACCCUCCCCAGGGAACAAAGUGUAAACAUAGUGGGGGAGGGAAGGGACCUGGGAUUGCUACAUAUAAAAAACCCUUUAAAAAAUAAAUAAAAAGCACCAAUGGGUUUUGUUUUGUUUUACAUGAUUUUCCUUACAUCACCCCAAAGCCCAGAGAAUAGUCUGGGGAAAUCACCGACAGGAAAGACUAAGCAGCUGCUUUGCUCGUAGUUUUAACAGGAAGAGUUGGGGUUUUUUUCCCUCUCAGAGUUAGGGGCUCCUAGCUUUACAUGCUUGGAUUAUGGGGAAAGAUAGGGUAGCUUUCAAGUGUUUUCUCAGAGCUCUGGUGCCACUGAGCCUGGUCAGUGGUUAAGGUCCAUUUCACACUGAGCUUCCUAUCCCCAAAUUACCCCCUCAUACCUCCUGUUUAUUAAAGAGGUGCAUGACCCAAACUGAGGCAGAUUUUAAGGGGCCAUACUGUACCAAUGAAUCACUUGCUUUUUAUUUUCUGGCUCAUCCUGCUAAAGGGAGUUAUUAUUUUUAUCAUUAUUAUCAUUUUUUUUUAGUAAUUAUAAACAUGUCAUGACCAUCAUUACCUGUUUGGGAAACCACUGUGGAAUGGUGGGUAGUGGUGGGGGAUGGGGAAAAUAAGGUUCCUUCCCAGUCCUGGGAAAUAAGAUUCCUGGAUGCUAAGUGAGUAUAGACCCAUCUUCGGGUUCCUUCCUUGGGAGGGUUGGGUGAGGGGUUAGCACAGGACGCAGGGCUUCCUGUUAGUCCUGGGGCUGAGCCAGGGAGACCAGAGUCUCCCUAGUCUCC
This is a long non-coding RNA of Sarcophilus harrisii (Tasmanian devil), 1902 nucleotides long. The record is from Ensembl. NCBI's taxonomy places the organism in Eukaryota, Metazoa, Chordata, Mammalia, Dasyuromorphia, Dasyuridae.